CCCAAUUAAGUGCGCGCACCAACUUGGGAAGCGCACAUCUGAAGUAAAUUAUAACCACGCAUGUGAACAACGCCCUGGACGAACAAAUGGCAGAAGGAGAUAUCUAUAUGUUUUUUCCAGGGUGCUCAAACGAGGAAAGGAAUGUACUUAUAUUUUCACUGAAUCCUGAAACCAUUACUGAAAGCAAGUGGGAGAAAUUCAUAAGAAUGACAAAAGAGAAAAGCAUAUGCAGGGUAGAAGUUGGAGAAAAGACUCUACUUUUUAC
Molecule: long non-coding RNA, 265 nt
Filed under: Nicotiana benthamiana
Lineage: Eukaryota; Viridiplantae; Streptophyta; Magnoliopsida; Solanales; Solanaceae
Description: long non-coding RNA (NBEN_LNC001448)
Source: RNAcentral